ACGAACGCUGGCGGCGUGUUUAAGGCAUGCAAGUCGAAUGGGUUUAGACCCAUGGCAAACGGGUGCGUAACACAUUGGUAACCUACCUCGAGGUGGGGGAUAACCUGAGGAAACUCGGGCUAAUACCCCAUGUGGUUCCGGUUCUUCGCGAAUCGGAAAGAAAGAUUUAUCACCUUGAGAGGGGCCUAUGUCCCAUCAGCUAGUUGGUAAGGUAAAAGCUUACCAAGGCUACGACGGGUAGCGGGUGUGAGAGCACGACCCGCCUCACUGGGACUGAGACACUGCCCAGACUCCUACGGGAGGCUGCAGUCGAGAAUCUUCCCCAAUGGACGCAAGUCUGAGGGAGCGACGCCGCGUGAUUGAAGAAGCCCUUUGGGGUGUAAAAAUCUUUUCUCAGGGAAAAAUUUGCGAUGGUACCUGAGGAAUAAGGGGCUGCAAACUUCGU
Molecule: ribosomal RNA, 445 nt
Filed under: uncultured bacterium
Lineage: Bacteria
Description: bacterial SSU rRNA
Rfam family: Bacterial small subunit ribosomal RNA
Source: RNAcentral